RNAcentral lists this ribosomal RNA (485 nucleotides) under uncultured bacterium. Its description in RNAcentral is "partial 16S ribosomal RNA". It matches the Rfam family "Bacterial small subunit ribosomal RNA", at positions 30 to 507 of the family's 1533-position model. The record is from RNAcentral.
UUGCACGCUGGCGGCAUGCCUUACCCCUGCAAGUCGAACGGCAGCACGGGUGCUUGCACCUGGUGGCGAGUGGCGAACGGGUGAGUAAUACAUCGGAACAUGUCCUGUAGUGGGGGAUAGCCCGGCGAAAGCCGGAUUAAUACCGCAUACGAUCUACGGAUGAAAGCGGGGGACCUUCGGGCCUCGCGCUAUAGGGUUGGCCGAUGGCUGAUUAGCUAGUUGGUGGGGUAAAGGCCUACCAAGGCGACGAUCAGUAGCUGGUCUGAGAGGACGACCAGCCACACUGGGACUGAGACACGGCCCAGACUCCUACGGGAGGCAGCAGUGGGGAAUUUUGGACAAUGGGCGAAAGCCUGAUCCAGCAAUGCCGCGUGUGUGAAGAAGGCCUUCGGGUUGUAAAGCACUUUUGUCCGGAAAGAAAUCCUUGGCCCUAAUACGGUCGGGGGAUGACGGUACCGGAAGAAUAAGCACCGGCUAACUACGUG